UAACUCACUCUCUGGAAGGAUUCUCUUAGAUAAAGGCAUACUGGUUUCCACCUGAUAAGCAGAACUCUGCUUAUUGGAAAUACCCCGGAUCCUCACUGGCUUCUUUAAGACCUCUAAGAAAAUGAGUUCUCAAAGCAACGCCUCAGCAGUCUUUGGAGGGACAUCUUGUAGCCCAUUUUGCUCCAGUUUCUCAAAGGUCUUCUCUCUCUCUCUCUCCUUUAUGUUGGAAGAAGGAAGUAAGAAGGGAAAGGAGGAGAGGAGGAGGUAACUCAUGGCACACACAACACACAGAAGGAAGCCCCCAGAAAAUGCAUGAGACAGAAAGGAACACAACGUACUUCUGAUCUUCCCUCUUCUGUGAGCAAAAGUAAAGCCAAUAAAGCCUAUUUGCAGCAGAGUAAGGGGCAAAGGAAACACUGAAUACCAUUCUCCUCCUCCUCCACCACCACCACCACCUCUUGCUGGGGAAGCAACUAUGACAAAUGUGGAGAAGAACACCUGGCUGCGAAAUAUGAGACAAGAUGGAACCAAAAAGGGCAAUAUCGUUCUGAUCUGCCUCUGAGGUUAUUGUCUGGAAGAGAGAGGGUAGGACAUAACUUGGUAGCAAUAUUCAUAGCUGAAAAAAGUGCUUUAUGUUCAAAAUUGCCCCAGUCUUUAUUUAAUAACAUACUCUAAUUGCUCCACCACUGGCAGCUUUAGAAUAAAA
Anolis sagrei ordinatus is the source of this 706-nucleotide long non-coding RNA. RefSeq lists it as uncharacterized. The record is from RefSeq and is a predicted model, not a curated record. Lineage: Eukaryota; Metazoa; Chordata; Lepidosauria; Squamata; Anolidae.